AAUCAAUAAUGUUGGAAAAGAGAAACCCUCUUCACACAUCUCUAAUUAGUCAUAGCAGAAUCUGGUGGAUUUCCAUGUUACAACUGCAUCAAACCUGAGAAAUUGGUCUUGAUCCCAGACUCAUUCAGUACAUCUUCCAGAAGAAGCUCCAGUCAAGACAAUCAAAGGCUUUUCAACGUUGAAUGAUCCCCAAGAUCACUCUUUCAGUUUGCAUCCAUCCUACAUUAUGUUCAGUGUCUGUCUAAUGUUACCUACAGCAAAUCUCCCUGGAAUUACCCUGAAAGAGCUCCACUUAUAAGAACAGGCAAAGGAUCUUCAAACUGGUCGGCUUCAACUUUAGCUUGAGCCUUCAAAAUCUAUAGUAGUAAGUGAAACCAGGCAUAAAGAGGCACAGUUCUUCAGAUCUUUUUUUUUUUAAUAAAUCAAAUAAAUAUUGGCCAUAUUGUUUAUAUUAGGGCAUGAACCCCUCUGUAAAGUCACUGCUCAAGUCUAAUAACGGAGUAGGAAAAGGGUUUCUGUAUUUUUCUGAAUAAUCAAUACCAAAGCUGCUGAUGCAAAUUUAUUUGAACCCCAGGGAACACAUCCUUUGAAGUUCUGGGAAAAUUUUAAAUAUAGUGUAUAAAUCAAUAAGUGGACAAAAACAUCUCUGUCAAUGUCUUCAUUUUUACUUGGAGAAGAAAUAUAUCUUUAAAUGUAAUCUCUCACUCCCGCUAUGAACCCUUUCCCCAAAUCAUUUCCUUUACAAAAGAAACUCAUGACAGUCAGCUGAACAGAAACAUUCCUUUUGGCCAUGAUGAGAAGUGCUGAGAUGUAACCUCUCUGAACAUGAUGACUACUCCAGCCCAAAAGACGGUCUUCCUCUUCCUCCCUUUUCUAAUGCUCUCAUGCUUUUCUCUUUUCCCAUCAUUUCACAUCCAGUUUGGGAGCCUGAGCCAAGUGAGAUGGUUUGAGGGCAUUUUCAGAAGAGAUUCUACUGUCCUGGUUGGGUGGUACGUGUUGUUUUGAAUGGGAUGCAUCU
Molecule: long non-coding RNA, 1018 nt
Filed under: Equus caballus (horse)
Lineage: Eukaryota; Metazoa; Chordata; Mammalia; Perissodactyla; Equidae
Description: lncRNA (ENSECAG00000046456.1)
Source: RNAcentral